This is a non-coding RNA of Struthio camelus australis, 1462 nucleotides long. NCBI's taxonomy places the organism in Eukaryota, Metazoa, Chordata, Aves, Struthioniformes, Struthionidae. The record is from RefSeq and is a predicted model, not a curated record.
AGAGCCUCUCCUCCAGCCCCUGCGAGCCAAGGCCCUCAGAAAGGCAGCACUAGAGCCCCGGGACCAGUCAGAGUGCUGUUGCGUGGAAGAAGUACGUGUGACCUGCUGCCCCAUCCCCUCAGAAGGGUCCUGGAUGCAGUGCAGAGCUCAGCGCUCCGUUUCAAGCAGAGUGGCCUUGGCUGGGUCAGGACAGACACUGCACAGCGAGACUGUGACUCCUUCAGCCACGCUUCUGCAGUCAAUGCAGUGGCCCAGCUGUGCUCCUGCCCAGCUGCUUUGCAGCCUCUGGCUGGACAAAAUGUGCCCACUGCUUCUGUUGCACUAGAGAUUAUAGGAGCUCUGUUCACUGUGGGCUGCCUGGUGAUAUGGUCCUUUUCUUUGCUGGUAAUGCAGGUGUCCCCGUCUUAACUGGAUUACUGUAUGGGGGACAGAUGCAAUGUGGCUUCUAGAGAAGUAAGCGUGAAAAACCUCUGCUCUAUUUUCCUCAGCCUCUGCUACUCUUAAAACAAUCCUGGGGCCUGUGCUGGGCUAUACCAAAGUGCCUUUUUCCUUCCCAGGCACCUGCUGAGAAGCAGUAGAUCGUGGCACAUGACUCUGUGGUCAUGGGUGACACAGGUUGGCUGGCAGAGCUGUAAUAAGUAUCUGGGGGGUUUGAACAAGUGGUGAGUUCUGUCCCGUGGGGCCUGACUCACAACACCCAACUGCACCAAGCCACCUGCAUGGCUUGGGGGAAAGGACACAGCUCACCACCCCUGCCUUCAGUGCCCUGCAUGUCCUGGGGCUACACUGUAAUCUGGCAGGUGCUGAGACCAAAAUGAGCAGCUGUGGGAGGAGACAAAACAAAGCAAGGUGCUGGAUGUGCCCCUUUUGUGCUGGCUUCCUCGCUGCUGCGCAGGGUGGCUCAGCACUGCUGGCAGGCUGUGGCAGGGCAGACGCCGCCGCUCUGGGCUCUUCCGGAGUUCGGUGCUGCUGUUGGCUGGCUGAUGGUUGGGAAUGCCAUGGUGUCCCCUGCUACUCCAUGGGCUGGUCCCACAGGCCCUCUGCUAAGGGCACGGCAUGUGCCAGACUGGGGAUCGGCUGGGAGCUCCGCUCGGCUGUGGGGCUCUGGUCCCCAAUGACCAUCGUGGCAUGAAAUAUCUCAGUGCCUAAAGAUCAGCGGCAUGUGAGCAAGAACCUCCCCUGCCACCAGCCGCUGGGAUAGGGCGCUUUCGGAGAGGAGGGUGCUGCCUGUGUGUCUCUGGGUGUGACUCUUAAAGCUGUUGUUGUGUAAAGGCUCUGUGUACUGAUGCUGUUCUCUUGGGAGAGACCACUGAAUUUCUGACUGUCGGCUUGUUUCCUGUGCUCUGCCUGUGUUUCACACGUUGCUUCGUCCUCCGUGUUUGCUUUCCAGCACUUUGUAGUGACUGUUUCUCAUCUGCCGUGAGAACAUGAUGGAGAGGAAAUAAAAGGCUGUGUUCUCGUG